RNAcentral lists this ribosomal RNA (500 nucleotides) under Dialister invisus. RNAcentral's name for it is "bacterial SSU rRNA". It matches the Rfam family "Bacterial small subunit ribosomal RNA", at positions 28 to 495 of the family's 1533-position model. The record is from RNAcentral. Lineage: Bacteria; Bacillati; Bacillota; Negativicutes; Veillonellales; Veillonellaceae.
GACGAACGCUGGCGGCGUGCUUAACACAUGCAAGUCGAACGAAAAGAGGGAAAGAGCUUGCUCUUUCCGGAAUUGAGUGGCAAACGGGUGAGUAACACGUAAACAACCUGCCUUCAGGAUGGGGACAACAGACGGAAACGACUGCUAAUACCGAAUAAGUUCCAAGGGCCGCAUGGCCCAUGGAAGAAAAGGUGGCCUCUACCUGUAAGCUAUCGCCUGAAGAGGGGUUUGCGUCUGAUUAGCUGGUUGGAGGGGUAACGGCCCACCAAGGCGACGAUCAGUAGCCGGUCUGAGAGGAUGAACGGCCACACUGGAACUGAGACACGGUCCAGACUCCUACGGGAGGCAGCAGUGGGGAAUCUUCCGCAAUGGGCGAAAGCCUGACGGAGCAACGCCGCGUGAGUGAUGACGGCCUUCGGGUUGUAAAACUCUGUGAUCCGGGACGAAAAGGCAGAGUGCGAAGAACAAACUGCAUUGACGGUACCGGAAAAGCAGCCACG